This 88-nucleotide non-coding RNA is filed under the name Neomicrococcus aestuarii. Its description in RNAcentral is "SAM-I sequence". It matches the Rfam family "SAM riboswitch aptamer (S box leader)". From Rfam's summary of the family: The SAM riboswitch is found upstream of a number of genes which code for proteins involved in methionine or cysteine biosynthesis in Gram-positive bacteria. The SAM riboswitch acts at the level of transcription termination control. The predicted structure consists of a complex stem-loop region followed by a single stem loop terminator region. Lineage: Bacteria; Bacillati; Actinomycetota; Actinomycetes; Micrococcales; Micrococcaceae. The record is from Rfam by way of RNAcentral.
UACCCAUCUAGAGCGGCUGAGAGACCUGGCUCCGCGACGCCGCAGCAACACUCAUGUGAGUUCGUGCUACAGCCAGGACCGAUGGAAG